RNAcentral lists this ribosomal RNA (253 nucleotides) under uncultured bacterium. Its description in RNAcentral is "partial 16S ribosomal RNA". It matches the Rfam family "Bacterial small subunit ribosomal RNA", at positions 524 to 776 of the family's 1533-position model. The record is from RNAcentral.
UACGUAGGGGGCGAGCGUUGUCCGGAUUUAUUGGGCGUAAAGGGCGUGUAGGCGGCUUUUUAAGUCGGGGGUGAAAAUCCAGGGCUCAACCCUGGGACUGCCUCCGAAACUGGGAAGCUUGAGUGCUCUAGAGGGUAGUGGAAUUCCCGGUGUAGCAGUGAAAUGCGUAGAGAUCGGGAGGAACACCAGUGGCGAAGGCGACUGCCUGGGGGGUAACUGACGCUGAGGCGCGAAAGCUGGGGGAGCAAACGGG